GAAAUGCGAUAAGUAAUGUGAAUUGCAGAAUUCAGUGAAUCAUCGAAUCUUUGAACGCACAUUGCGCCCGCCAGUAUUCUGGCGGGCAUGCCUGACCGAGCGUCAUUUCAACCAUCAAGCCCCCGGGCUUGUGUUGGGGACCUGCGGCUGCCCGCAGGCCCUGAAAACCAGUGGCGGGCUCGCUGUCACACCGAGCGUAGUAGCAAUCACCUCGCUCAGGGCGUGCUGCGGGUUCCGGCCGUUAAACAGCCUUACAAAACCCAAGGUUGACCUCGGAUCAGGUAGGAAGACCCGCUGAACUUAAGC
RNAcentral lists this unclassified non-coding RNA (306 nucleotides) under plant metagenome. RNAcentral's name for it is "partial contains 5.8S ribosomal RNA, internal transcribed spacer 2, and large subunit ribosomal RNA". The stretch from base 1 to 105 matches the Rfam family "5.8S ribosomal RNA", at positions 50 to 154 of the family's 154-position model. The record is from RNAcentral.